UUUUAAGCGAUUUCUAGAUGGCUUUUAAAAAAAACAAAAAACCUAGAAUAUCAAAGGAUGUUAUAAGUAAUAUGUGGGGUAACAACUUGUUGAUCCAAGUAGUGGCGUAACUGGCGUUCAAUAUGAUACAAGACUUUAGUUCCUUAUUGAGUAAAUAGCACUACAUGUUUCCUUUCUAAAUCAUUACUAUAUCACACAGAAGAAACUACAGACAUGACUGAAAAAUAAUUGGAAACGUUUCCAGGGAAGCAUUGGGAAACUAGUGCAAAUGCGCAGCAAAUCUCCGUGCAGAGCCAAAUAAAUGCUACUCUAUGUUUGACUUGGUUUUCACAGAGAAGAUCCUUAUUGGCUGUCAAGAAAAGAGGCACGUUUAACCCUGCAACAAAACAUUGGCAUACUAGAAGACAAUGUUUUAAAUUGCAGGGUUAAAAUGAAAGGAUCACUGCACCCAGACAGUUACUCUAAGAUGAAGUGGUCUGGAUGCCUUUAGUUUUUCUUUGAAACUCCUGGAGCAUUGCAGGGUCAAAUAGAUGGAUGUCUAGCCUGAAUAAUCGGUCUUGUUCAAUAGAGCAUUUUGUUUUGCAACAUAAGUUGAGAACGCAGUCUCAUGGAUAGAAGGGAGCAUUGGGUGAUGCUAUCCAGAGUUCUUGCACUGUAUUUGAGUCUGUGACUAUGACGAUUAAUGCGAAAUAAUUCUUUAAUGUGCUUGCUCAUGCUUCUCCUUUGUGUGAUGUUCCAGCAUGAAAGAUGGUAAUUCCCUAACAUUCAUCUCACAUUAAUUCAUUUUAAUUAAUAUCAUAUGCUCUCUCUGGGAUAUGUGGAUAAAAUCGGUUAUGCUUAUAUAUGUUAUGGACUAAUGCUGUAUUCAGUCUAAUGGUGGUGUUUUUUUUUUUUAAAUUUUGCAAUUUUGCUUUGUCUUAAGAUAU
Non-coding RNA from Pelobates cultripes (western spadefoot toad), 926 nucleotides. The record is from the annotation of a GenBank genome assembly. Lineage: Eukaryota; Metazoa; Chordata; Amphibia; Anura; Pelobatidae.